RNAcentral lists this ribosomal RNA (272 nucleotides) under uncultured bacterium. RNAcentral describes it as "partial small subunit ribosomal RNA". It matches the Rfam family "Bacterial small subunit ribosomal RNA", at positions 26 to 285 of the family's 1533-position model. The record is from RNAcentral.
AGAAUCAACGCUGGCGGCGUGCCUAACACAUGCAAGUCGAACGCGAAAGGGGAGCAAUCCCUGAGUAGAGUGGCAAACGGGUGAGUAACACGUGGGUGACCUGCCUUCGAGUGGGGGAUAACGUCCCGAAAGGGACGCUAAUACCGCAUGACAUCCUGUCCUUGGAAGGACGGAGAUCAAAGCUGGGGAUCGUAAGACCUGGCGCUUGAAGAGGGGCCCGCGCCUGAUUAGCUAGUUGGUGGGGUAACGGCUCACCAAGGCGACGAUCAGUA